Long non-coding RNA from Leopardus geoffroyi (Geoffroy's cat), 2757 nucleotides. RefSeq lists it as uncharacterized. Lineage: Eukaryota; Metazoa; Chordata; Mammalia; Carnivora; Felidae. The record is from RefSeq and is a predicted model, not a curated record. The transcript is spliced from 3 exons.
CCCAUCAAGCCGUGUGCACAGGCCGCCCUGAGACGGUCCCUUCUCUGCCAGGGACCCGCAGGGGUGGCAGGAGCCCGCACCCUGUCCUUGCGCCCUCCAGCCUCCUGAACGGACCCCUCCUGUCCCCGUGCUCUGGCCUGUUGUCCUCUGGACGUGGCGAGCGUGGGGCGACCCACCCGAGCCCUUUGCUGCGCUUUCCUGACAGCGAGACUCGUGAGGUUAGCCACCGCUCCUCCUGGAGGGGCCGAGUGCUCACGGCCACCGAUCGGGCUUCCUUUGUGCUACUGUGGCCGCCCUCCCUCGGUUCCUUCUCUCCCCUUCCAGAGUCAGCAGCAAGACACAGGCCGGGCUGCCGUGCGCUCCCGGGGCUCUGGCACGCACAGCCCGCCAUGCCGCUUCCGUGUCUGCCGCGGCGGCACUGGGUUUCUGCUGCCUCGUGACGAGGCCCCUCCGUCCUCUUUCCAGAACGUUCCCCGUCUGGGCCUCUGCUGGCAGCGUCUCGUGUGUGCCUGUGUCCUCUAGCAGGCUGUGCAGGGCAGUCUGUCCUCCUCCCCAGGAUUCUGGCAGCCUGCACUUAUGUCCCCGGGCCCCUGUGGUUUUGUGUGCUGCACAGGAAGGUGCCACGGACACGGCAUGUCGUCCCCUGCACCGUCCCCAUGGUCGCGAGGCGGCUCGGCCUCGCUGGUUCUCUGUCGGGGCCUCAGGCCUGCGCCCCGGGUGUCGGGUCCACUUCCUGGCAGAACUGGGUCCCGGGUCCCGGGUGUAGACGGGAGCUGGCCGUCAGCCGGGCUGUGAGCAGCUGUCGGGUUAAGCCCCAGGUUGGUGGUGGCCUCGCCCUGGCUGUCCGUGGGCGGGGGCGGGGCGCUUUGCGGUCGGGGCCUCGGGAAGCCCGGCCUGCUCUGCCGCGGCUCCGUGCUGGCGGCCAGCCCCUCCGUGCCGUGCUUGUCUCAUCCGUCAGCCUCUCUGGGAAGAAAGACCCGUUUCUCGUGGCGUUCGUGGCCCAGUCCUGGGAGCUCAGCUGUCUCCUGCCACAGGCAGGUCUCCGAGGUUUCGGUCCUGCGGGGCACGCUCAUUGCCAUCGAGAAAUGCCGCGAACGCUCUCCGGCUCUCCCUCCCCUCCUCCCCGCGCGGCCCCAGCCCCUCGAGCUCCGAAGCCCUUCGUGGCUCCCACCUGAUCCGCACCGCUCGUCCGCGCACGUCCCGCGCCUGGCAUGAGGCCCAGACGGCUCCCGUCCGACGCCUCCGGAACGGCUCAGUCAGGGUGGAUGCUCGCCCUGCGGGCUUCGUGCCCGGCGCAGGCUGCAGAGCGAGUGCCCGUGCGCGUGCUUGCACGUGGACACGCGUGGGCCGGGCUCCGCUCUGAGCUCCCCACCGGUCGUGAGGCUUCCGCACCGCCGCGCGUCACGCGUGGCUCAGGCCCGGGGUGACCCAGACUUGGGUUAAAGGCUGCAACCACACCGUGCCCUUUGACCUCCAGCGAUGCCGGUCUCGUAUCGUGCUGCCCCCCCCCCCCUUAGCGUCUGGGCUGGUCGGGGGCUCUGUGCAGGUGUCACCACGUGUCCCGGUCGUGGUCGUCUUCCGGCUCGUGGGUGUCAACACCGCAGAGACCCACCUGCCCUUCGCUGCCCCUCACGCGCAUGUCCGCGCCCUGCUUCGUUCCUCUUUCUGUUCCCAUCGGUCUCCGCAACAUUCCGGGCAGCGGGAGCGUCUUUCAAUCGAGAGACCGCGGGCCUCCGAGCCGUGUCCCCAGGCCCUGAGUCUUGCCGCCAGUGGAGGGGCCGCUGAGGGCAGAGAGCGGGAGGGAGGGCCGACGGGCAGAGGUGGCGCGGGUCCCAGAGCCGGGGGGACCUGUUUCUAGCAGAGAAUUGUCCCGGUUUAAAGCUGUUGUCUGCGUCCCUUUCACUCGUGUCCCGAAACUCUUCCCCGCGGAUCUUACUGGGCGGAGGAGGAAGGGACCAGGCAAAAGUGGGCUCGUGUGCGGCGUCAGGAAACGGAACCCACGUGGCCCGGUGUCCUCUCCUGCAGCAUCUGGGCAUCGCGUUUGUCGUGAACAACUGUGCCUAAAUUACAUGCACGUGGUGCGGCGUGCGAACUGCCUCUCGAAUUGGUGGAAGUCUGCACUGUGGUAGAACUCCUGUGUGCGUGCACACACACACGCGCACACACACACACACACACACACACACACACACACACACACACACUCACACACAUUGGGACAUCACAAUGGCCUUGUCAGUGAAAGUGCGGAAUUGGAUUGACUCGCAGCUCAUUUGAAAACAUGCAGACUAGGACCUUCUCUGCGUACCUUGUCUCGUGCUUCCCAGGAGCGGUGCCAGACAGCAGCUGUGCUGGAAAACUCAGAAGGAAAGAGACCUCAGUCCCUGUCCGGCCUGCGGAACUCGACGUGCUGGGGCCAUCUCCCUCAGCGCCCUGGCAGGGCCGGCCGUCACCGAGUCCCUCGGGCAGGGAGAAGGGAGAGACAGGGUGUCCCCUCAGCCUGCCCAAGCCCCACUCAUGCUGUUGUCCCACCGGCAGCUUUUGAGGGCCUCCUGUUGUAGGCCAGGUUGUGGUCAUUGAGGACCUGAAGAGGAACGAGGCCUUCAGGGGGACUCCCGUCAGUAGGAGAGGGGGACCAUGCGUGACCCAGUAACCGGCAGAGCAGGAAGGAAGUGACCGCCCAGGGCCCGACGGAGUUUUUUAUAGUGUUCAUUUAUUUUUGAGAGAGAGACAGAGUGCAAGCCAGGGACGGGCAGA